This 492-nucleotide ribosomal RNA is filed under the name uncultured bacterium. Its description in RNAcentral is "partial 16S ribosomal RNA". It matches the Rfam family "Bacterial small subunit ribosomal RNA", at positions 29 to 507 of the family's 1533-position model. The record is from RNAcentral.
AGUGAACGCUGGCGGUAGGCCUAACACAUGCAAGUCGAACGGCAGCACAGUAAGAGCUUGCUCUUACGGGUGGCGAGUGGCGGACGGGUGAGGAAUACAUCGGAAUCUACUUUUUCGUGGGGGAUAACGUAGGGAAACUUACGCUAAUACCGCAUACGACCUACGGGUGAAAGCAGGGGAUCUUCGGACCUUGCGCGAUUGAAUGAGCCGAUGUCGGAUUAGCUAGUUGGCGGGGUAAAGGCCCACCAAGGCGACGAUCCGUAGCUGGUCUGAGAGGAUGAACCACCAACAUGGAACCUGGGCCCCGUCCAGACUCCCAAGGGGAGGAGCAGUGGGGAAUAUUUGGCCAUUGGGGGAAGGCCUGACCCGGCAAUCCGCGUUGGUGAAGGAGGGCUUCGGGUUGUAAAGCCCUUUUGUUGGGAAAGAAAAGCAGCAGGUUAAUACCCCGCUGUUCUGACGGUACCCAAAGAAUAAGCACCGGCUAACUUCGUG